CUCAACCACUGGGGCAAUGAGCUGCAAAGUAACCUCCCAGGUGCAGAGGGAGAGCUCCAGGCUACAAGCUGGGUGUUGAACAAGUUCUUUUGACUUGUGUUUCAAAAACAGAAAUUCUACCAGAAUCACCAAAACAGUGAGUUUUAACAGUGUUCACAUGGUUCAGGAUCAAUUACCAGAUCACAACUGCUGUCAGCUGCUGCCAAGGAAUGUCCAACACAAGUUAUUCCCCUCUGCUUCUUCCCCUCUGUCAUCAGCUUAUCUACUAGGUGGCUAAGACAUCACAUAUUCACUGGAAGUCAAAAAAAAAAAAGUUUAUUGUCAGCAGGCCAGAGUUAAACAAUUGUAUUACCAUUGACUUGGAAAGUGGGGAGAGAGGGCAAGAGACACCUUAAAAAACUUACUGCUGGAAAAUCAUCAGAGAAAUAAACCUGAGAUGUCUGAGAUUUAUUUCAAGUACGAACAUCAAAAAUUCUCCUAUGCAACAAAUUCAAUUCUCUUGUUAAGAAACCACAGGAAAUUCAACCAUGCACAGCACCUAAACAACAAAAAUGCUCUUUGUGGAUGAAAAACAGAAGAUCCUGCACAGAUCCCUUGCUGUAAAUUACUGAUGUUCCUGCUGGGUUUGGAACAUAGAAGAUUUACCUGCUGAUAUGGUCAAGGAGCUUCUUAACCUCUGUGACACUCAGAAAAUUGUAUGGGGAAUGCAAUGUGUUCCUUCUGCCUCUUAAUGCUGUUUUUAAGAUUGCAAAGGCUGCAGUUGGAAAACCUAUUCUUUCCUAUUGAUUUAAACACUCUCUAUUGGUGUUUAUGGCUUCCUGCUGGUUUGCAACCAUGUUACAUUCAAAGUAUGAGAGCAAGAGAAAUAAAAAGCCUCC
Oenanthe melanoleuca is the source of this 878-nucleotide long non-coding RNA. RefSeq lists it as uncharacterized. The record is from RefSeq and is a predicted model, not a curated record. NCBI's taxonomy places the organism in Eukaryota, Metazoa, Chordata, Aves, Passeriformes, Muscicapidae. The transcript is spliced from 3 exons.